AUGGGCAGCACUCAAAAUUGCUCCUGUUGGCACAGAAAUAGACAUCUAAUCAUUUUCAUCUUCCUACUCUUGGUUUCAAGCUCGACCCAUCUGAGAUUCAUGGCUGAAGGUUAACAACUCCUCCCCCAUUGUUCAAAUUCAUUCGCUAAUGUAACCCUCUUUGUUCAAAAGAAAAAGCAAAACUAACAUGGGUUCUGUUUCUUUUUUUCUUUUUCAGGUGCUAGACUAAUUUCAAGCAAGCUUACUAAGGCUGCUCCGGUAAGACUUCAUAUUAUAUAUAUAUAUAUAUAUAUAUAUAUAUAUGUAUGUGGUAUUGCUAAUUUGCAUAAUAAAUUCUCCUAUGCGGAUGUCUGGACAUUAUUAUAUGUCUAUACUAUUGCUAAUUUGCUUCUUUCUACCAGUUGAAUAUGAAGUCUGCAAACUCUAUACCAGAGUGUUAAUUGAUUCCUGACUGAGUUUUUAUAAUUAUAUUUACGCAGAGAGGUCAUGUUCUUGAGGAAAAUGAAGCUGGGGUGGUGGUCAACGCACGUCAAAUAGGAUCAAGACCACCAAGGUGUGAGAGCAGGUGCAGUGCUUGUGGGCAUUGUGUGGCAGUUCAGGUCCCUGUUUCCCCCCAAGUCCAAGGCCACAGUAAAAUCAGAAGCCAUGGCAGCCUCCCUGAUUCCACCAGAACAAGCCCCAAGAAUGUAGCUUACUCCAGAGGCGAUGACAUUACAAAUUAUAAGCCUAUAAGCUGGAAAUGCAAGUGUGGGGAUUUGCUCUUCAACCCUUGA
Molecule: long non-coding RNA, 773 nt
Filed under: Prunus dulcis (almond)
Lineage: Eukaryota; Viridiplantae; Streptophyta; Magnoliopsida; Rosales; Rosaceae
Description: sRNA ncRNA
Source: RNAcentral